RNAcentral lists this ribosomal RNA (829 nucleotides) under Bacillus sp. MY-CB12. RNAcentral's name for it is "bacterial SSU rRNA". It matches the Rfam family "Bacterial small subunit ribosomal RNA", at positions 102 to 914 of the family's 1533-position model. The record is from RNAcentral. Lineage: Bacteria; Bacillati; Bacillota; Bacilli; Caryophanales; Bacillaceae.
ACGGGUGAGUAACACGUGGGCAACCUGCCUAUAAGACUGGGAUAACUUCGGGAAACCGGAGCUAAUACCGGAUAACAUAUGAGACCACAUGGUCUCAUAUUAAAAGAUGGCUUUUAGCUAUCACUUAUAGAUGGGCCCGCGGCGCAUUAGCUAGUUGGUGAGGUAAUGGCUCACCAAGGCGACGAUGCGUAGCCGACCUGAGAGGGUGAUCGGCCACACUGGGACUGAGACACGGCCCAGACUCCUACGGGAGGCAGCAGUAGGGAAUCUUCCGCAAUGGACGAAAGUCUGACGGAGCAACGCCGCGUGAGCGAAGAAGGUCUUCGGAUCGUAAAGCUCUGUUGUUAGGGAAGAACAAGUACCGUUCGAAUAGGGCGGUACCUUGACGGUACCUAACCAGAAAGCCACGGCUAACUACGUGCCAGCAGCCGCGGUAAUACGUAGGUGGCAAGCGUUAUCCGGAAUUAUUGGGCGUAAAGCGCGCGCAGGCGGUCCUUUAAGUCUGAUGUGAAAGCCCACGGCUCAACCGUGGAGGGUCAUUGGAAACUGGGGGACUUGAGUGCAGAAGAGGAGAGCGGAAUUCCACGUGUAGCGGUGAAAUGCGUAGAGAUGUGGAGGAACACCAGUGGCGAAGGCGGCUCUCUGGUCUGUAACUGACGCUGAGGCGCGAAAGCGUGGGGAGCGAACAGGAUUAGAUACCCUGGUAGUCCACGCCGUAAACGAUGAGUGCUAAGUGUUAGAGGGUUUCCGCCCUUUAGUGCUGCAGCAAACGCAUUAAGCACUCCGCCUGGGGAGUACGGUCGCAAGACUGAAACUCAAAGGAAUUGAC